This is a long non-coding RNA of Helianthus annuus (common sunflower), 402 nucleotides long. RefSeq lists it as uncharacterized. The transcript has 3 exons. The record is from RefSeq and is a predicted model, not a curated record. NCBI's taxonomy places the organism in Eukaryota, Viridiplantae, Streptophyta, Magnoliopsida, Asterales, Asteraceae.
GUGUGUUCGACAUUAGGUGAAGCAAGAAGAACAAAACCCUAAAUACUACUAGUCCAUCAAAUUAGAAGAGAAAUUGAAGUGUAAAUAGAUGCAUGUAUCCAGAUUUAUGAUCCUCUAAGUGUGCUCAACAUCAAGGUCGAAAAAAGGAGGAGAAUCAAGUCAAGCGAAAGCAUUAGGAGCGCACGACUCCGGUAAAUCCCAGGCUUGAUAGUGGCGCUUUCGGACCGAACACACAAUGUCGACCUUUUUGCACGCUUCCGGUUCAAGUUGUCAAUUAUGAAUGGGUCAAAGUUUUCAUUUUGUAAUAUGAUGUCAAACUUGGGUUUAGUAUGUUAGUAAGUAGUUUGGAUUUCUAAACCUUUUGUUGUAGUAUGUACAAAAUAGUUAUGGUGAACCUUUUAU